Molecule: transfer RNA, 74 nt
Rfam family: tRNA
About the family: Transfer RNA (tRNA) molecules are approximately 80 nucleotides in length. Their secondary structure includes four short double-helical elements and three loops (D, anti-codon, and T loops).
GGGGCGUGGUCUAGCUUGGUUAAGACGCCGGCCUUGGGAGCCGGAGAUCCUGGGUUCGAAUCCCAGCGCCCCCA